Molecule: long non-coding RNA, 618 nt
Organism: Glycine soja
Lineage: Eukaryota; Viridiplantae; Streptophyta; Magnoliopsida; Fabales; Fabaceae
Exons: 2
Source: RefSeq, a predicted model, not a curated record
AUACAUUUGGAAAACAUAAAGGUCCCUUUUUGGAUUGUGAAACCCUUGUGUCGCUCCCGACGAACCACCAACCACUUCCGCCACCACUCUCUCCCAAUGAAUCUCUUUUGCAAAAGGUAACAUCUCUUCUUGAGAACCAUGGCCGUCGAAUCUAUAUUUGAAGGUGUCAACUGCAUCUUUUGUGGAAUCUUCUUGUUCAUGGCAAAUCCGGUGUUAAAACAACUAGAUGUGGUGUCAAAACUCACUCGAUCAAGUUCCAAAAAUGAGGGGGUGGAGAAGGUGCAUUUGGGGUGAAAGAUCUCAAUGAAAAUGAUAAUAUUAGAAAGAACAAAGAAGAAAACAAGUAACCACCAUGGCUUUUUAUGUUUUUUAUAUGCCUUUUUUUUGUUCUUUUUUGUGUAUUUCUGUGUGCUUAUACUUAACCCUUGAGUAGUUGUUCAUCCCCUAAAAAAAAUUUAUCUUGCAGCAAUAAAAUAGAAAACAACUUUCCUAUUUCAGCUAACAAAUAUGUUAGAUUUGUCAGUUUCGUACAUUAAGGACAUGUAACAAGAAGUUAAGAUAUUAGAGAAGUAUAAAUCUUCUCAUAACUUCCGAAGAAAAUAAACAUAUUAAACUCCA